Long non-coding RNA from Bactrocera tryoni, 984 nucleotides. RefSeq lists it as uncharacterized. Lineage: Eukaryota; Metazoa; Arthropoda; Insecta; Diptera; Tephritidae. The transcript is spliced from 2 exons. The record is from RefSeq and is a predicted model, not a curated record.
UUGAAUUUCAACCUUAUAUUACAAAGCAGAAAAUAUAAUACAUUUCUUAAUUGCAUUUUACUAAUCUUGAGUUUUUUGAGGUUUUGGGACAAUCCACAAAUUUUGAAAUCCUCUCAAGUCAGUGAUACAAUUAGUCAAUUAGGACUAGGAAAUGUUAACACCGACUCAUAUACACCUAUUAACAUACAUCCAUAUAGAUUUUCGUUUCUUUUGGAAUUCCAGACUUUAACGUGUUAAACAACGAACAAACUCUAAUAUGUCUCUGCAUCUCUUUCACACUUGCAAAGUGGUCGUUGGCGUCGGCGCAACUUCGACGAUUUUGCAGCGCAGCAACGGAUUUUUACCUCCAGAAAAUCGGCGCCGCGUCGUCGCCAUUCAAUUAACUUUUAUUUCGAUUACCACACACAUGUGUAUUGCUCACCAUUUACUAAUGUAAAAGCUAUUUGCAAUGAAAUGCAAUUUUAUCACGGGCACUCUUCAAAACAGGUUAAAUAUGUAAUUAUAUUUACUGCAAUUCUUCCGAAUUCCGCACAAUACAAACGUGAAUAAAAUUUACAACACAACGACUCGAAUGAAAAUUCACAACUGAAUUCCCACUAAUCCAUUGGAAUUGCACGAACUCGAGUAACAACAAAACCAAACAACUGUCAAACAAAGAAUGACAGUGGAAUGGGAAAAAGAGAUCGCGGCAGAGAACGUACGGACUGCAGGCAGAGAACGUACGUGCUCUAACUGAAUUUUUGAAUAAGUUUCCGUGGCCCUCAAACUUUAAAUGCAUCAAAAUAGGAGUGUGACCUUACUAACAUGUUUAGUGCUCGUGGAAUGCAGCAUAGCAAAUAUAUGUAGUUAAACCAGAGAACGUAUAUGACGUUCAGAGAACGUUUAUAAUAGAGAAGGUUCACGGCACGAAGAACGUAAAAAUAUUUUUCGAUAACUCGAUAACUUCGAUGGAGGAGUUUCACCACUGCCAGAUCAGCAGGAGAA